CAGAAGAGACUCAGUAUUAGGAGCACAGCUAACACUCAGCAACAGGAAUGCAUAUUUCAUUAUACUCAACUGGUUAGCGACCAUUACUAAUGAGCUGCAUGUCUACCAGCUGCAGAUGUAGAAACAUUUACACUGUGUGUGUCUGUGAAUUGUUGGUUCAGACUUCACACUGCCAGGGGCAAUAAACAAAUCAUUCUGCUUUGCUUCCUCCCCCACAUCCCUUCUCCUCCUCCCUGCUCUGCCUCUCUCUAUCCCUCUGGGCACCCAAGCAGAGAGAGAGGAAGAAAAAUAGAGAGAGUGAGAGGGAAAGUGGGAGUAAGAAGGUGGAAUGUUGAAUGCAGCAGAACAGUGGACCUGAUGGGUAAUUCUGUGACUGAGCCUGAAGUUUUGGUUUGGCUGUGAUGUGUUCUGCAAACACUGGCUCACACAAAGCAGGACUACAUUGCCGCGCAGGACUACAUUACCGCGCAUGUCUACCUUACAGCGCGGGACUACAUUACCGCGCAUGUCUACAUUACCGUGCAGGCGCAGAACUACCUUACCGCUCAGGACUACAUUACCGCGCAGGACUACAUUACCACGCAGCACUACAUUACCACACAGGACUACAUUACCACACAGGACUACAUUACCACGCCAGUAGAUAAAAUGAUUCAAGCAAACAAAGGGACAGAGGGAGCAUGUGGAAGCAUGUAAGACGGCUUUUGAACUAGGAGUGUGUGAAAGUGUGUGUAACAGAGAGAGACAGUGUGUGUGGCAUGUCUGAGUAGUCCGCACCAUUCCGAAUUGGGGGUCAAGCUUGGACUUGAGGCUAGUGGGGCUCUUAUCGGAGCUAGCUGUAAUGCAUUCCCAGAGAUGAAUCUUCUCCUGGUAUCAGCAAGGCUAUCACACUGCUGCAGAUAGGUAGGUAUCCCGCUCACCUAAACAUAGCGACUCACGUCUUCAGGCCAUUACACUAAUUUAAUUUGAGACUCCUCACAUACAUUCAGUGGUGAGUGAGUAGGAAUGGUGCGCACUACUCAGACAUGCCACACUCACUGUCUCUCUGUUACACACACUUUCACACACUCCUAGUUCAAAAGCCAUCUUGCAUGCUUCCACAUGCUCCCUCUGUCCCUUUGUUUGCUUUAAUCAUUUUAUCUACUGGCGUGGUAAUGUAGUCCUGUGUGGUAAUGUAGUCCUGUGUGGUAAUGUAGUCCUGUGUGGUAAUGUAGUCCUGUGUGGUAAUGUAGUCCUGUGUGGUAAUGUAGUCCUGUGUGGUAAUGGAGUGAGUGAGUGAGUGAGUGAGUGUGGACACUACAGUGCUCAUUUGUCUCCGUCCAUCACUGUGAUGGGGAUUCUUAAUCCCUCCUCUCCCAUUGUGUUUCCAGGAGGUGAAGUGGGACGGUGAUGCACCAUAGGAGCUGAUAACUCCAGCAGGAAGUGGAGCAGGGCCAGGUGAACCAGCCGAGGUCACAGACCUACCUCCAGGGGACCUCUGGGUCUUUCUAGAGAUCAGACAGUGUACCUGUGCCCGCGGAUGUCAGACUGGUCACACACCCCUCCCAGGGCAAUACGGUGGAACUCCCUGCCCAGGGUACGGGCGAUGGAGCGCCCCACACUGGUCUUUCCCACCCCAGGCGGCCCCACGAAGCACAGGAUGGGCCCCUUGAGGGUGCUCUUCAGCUGCCUCACAGCCAGGUACUCCAGCACUCUCCUCUUCAGCUUCUCCAUGGCAUAGUGGUCACUGUCCAACAGCACCCGCGCAGCACGGAUAUCAAGACAGUCUGCAGAGACAAUGCAGAUCAGGGUUUAAUUCCAACACCGUGAAUAUUGUCAAAGACCUUAUCUAAUGUCAACCAAGUGAUUAAGAUAACCAUUCAUCUAGAUUGUAAUAACAAGUAUUGUUUUAUGUCGCUACAUGACUAAGCAGACAUAUGGUAUGGACUCCCCUGUGUGGUAAUGCUGAAUCAUCUAAAUGUCCCCAAUACUCUCAGUGUCUAAUGACUGGCUAUAGAGGACAAAGCAACCAGUGACAAAAUAUGAUAUUGAGCUCCCUCCAGUGGUAGAAGCCUUUAAUUCCAUUUUGAACAGAGAGUUCAAAAAAGAGAGCUGUGGUGGACUUCCUCGGGGUACACUUUGGUUUCUACCCCUUGUCCCAAAAAAAUGCCCUAUCCCAUUAGAGAUUUUCAAGGUAUAACGUGCAUAUGAUGUGCUCUGUAUGUAUGGAUAUGUACAUUUCUAAGUUCAAAGAAUAAAGUGUAAAAGAAUAAAGAAAUGAAUCUGA
Long non-coding RNA from Oncorhynchus mykiss (rainbow trout), 2266 nucleotides. RefSeq lists it as uncharacterized. The record is from RefSeq and is a predicted model, not a curated record. Lineage: Eukaryota; Metazoa; Chordata; Actinopteri; Salmoniformes; Salmonidae.